GAAUUUUGGACAAUGGGCGCAAGCCUGAUCCAGCCAUGCCGCGUGCGGGAAGAAGGCCUUCGGGUUGUAAACUGCUUUUGUACGGAACGAAAAGGCUCUGGUUAAUACCUGGGGCACAUGACGGUACCGUAAGAAUAAGCACCGGCUAACUACGUGCCAGCCGCCGCGGUAAUACGUAGGGUGCAAGCGUUAAUCGGAAUUCCUGGGCGUAAAGCGUGCGCAGGCGGUGCUGUAAGACAGGCGUGAAAUCCCCGGGCUCAACCUGGGAAUUGCGCUUGUGACUGCAGUGCUGGAGUGCGGCAGAGGGGGAUGGAAUUCCGCGUGUAGCAGUGAAAUGCGUAGAUAUGCGGAGGAACACCGAUGGCGAAGGCAAUCCCCUGGGCCUGCACUGACGCUCAUGCACGAAAGCGUGGGGAGCAAACAGG
RNAcentral lists this ribosomal RNA (425 nucleotides) under uncultured bacterium. RNAcentral describes it as "bacterial SSU rRNA". It matches the Rfam family "Bacterial small subunit ribosomal RNA", at positions 359 to 776 of the family's 1533-position model. The record is from RNAcentral.